This 72-nucleotide transfer RNA is filed under the name bacterium. RNAcentral describes it as "tRNA-Lys". It matches the Rfam family "tRNA". Rfam says of the family: Transfer RNA (tRNA) molecules are approximately 80 nucleotides in length. Their secondary structure includes four short double-helical elements and three loops (D, anti-codon, and T loops). The record is from RNAcentral.
GGGGCCAUGGCGCAACGGUAGCGCAGCGGGCUUUUAACCCGUUGGUUGGGGGUUCGAAUCCCUCUGGCCCCA